This 475-nucleotide ribosomal RNA is filed under the name uncultured Moraxellaceae bacterium. RNAcentral's name for it is "partial 16S ribosomal RNA". It matches the Rfam family "Bacterial small subunit ribosomal RNA", at positions 30 to 483 of the family's 1533-position model. The record is from RNAcentral. Lineage: Bacteria; Pseudomonadati; Pseudomonadota; Gammaproteobacteria; Moraxellales; Moraxellaceae.
AUUGAACGCUGGCGGCAGGCUUAACACAUGCAAGUCGAACGGUAGCAGGAGAAAGCUUGCUUUCUUGCUGACGAGUGGCGGACGGGUGAGUAAUGCUUGGGAAUCUGGCCUAUGGAGGGGGGAUAACGACGGGAAACUGUCGCUAAUACCGCGUAUUAUCGGAAGGUGAAAGUGCGGGACUGAGAGGCCGCAUGCCAUAGGAUGAGCCCAAGUGGGAUUAGGUAGUUGGUGGGGUAAAGGCCUACCAAGCCUGCGAUCUCUAGCUGGUCUGAGAGGAUGACCAGCCACACUGGAACUGAGACACGGUCCAGACUCCUACGGGAGGCAGCAUUUUUUUUUUUAUUGCACAAUGGGGGGAACCCUGAUGCAGCCAUGUCCGCGUGAAUCAAGAAAGGGCUUGGGGUUGUGUAUUCCAUUCUCUAUUGAGGACGGGGUGAUGUGUUGUUCGCACUUCAGAUUGGCGUUUUUAUAUAGG